GUGAGGUUUUGUGUGUCCUUCUGACACGAUGGUCGAGACGGCCCAGGGAAGAGGAUGCUCCACGAGGCGUGGAGAGAAGGGAACCAUGGCCAGGAGGCAAGAGGAGCCUCCACAGAUCAACAGGCUCUGACAGGACCCCCUUCUCCCCUCCAGUACAUCAGAGGAUAUCAUUAAACUGCGAUCUGAAUAAUCUUUGAAAGAAGGUCUCGCAGAUGUGGGACCAGAGGGGCCCUUUAAGAGAUGCCUUGGGGUACGGCUGUUAACUUUCGCCAAGCUAAUCAAAGCCUGGAGUUACAACUGUGAGUGGGUGUAACUGCUUUGCAUCAGUUUCCUCCAAGAUUGCUCCUGGGGCCUUGGGGAUCUCUCUCUCUUUUUUAUUUUUCAAUUUGGAAAAUGGUGCUCUGUCAACAGUGCUUAUGUUUAGCCACUAAGGGGCAUCCUAAACAGCUGAUUUUUUAAUGGAUAAAGAUUGUUCCUUUCGGCAUUAUUAAUUACAAAAAAAUUUAUACCACGCUGAAGACUUUCCUGCACAAGAAUUAAUUCAAGGAAAUUUGAAAAAUGAACUCUUGGUCAGGUUCUAACACAUUGCCCAUCAUUUUCCGCCAGUGUGUCUGUUUACGUAUAAAAUUACAGAUGGAGAACGUGUGCAGCCUCUGCCUGGACGUGUCCAGGGGGAACGGGAAAACGUCAGCCGCGUCCAGGAAUGAGAAGCCAAGCGUGGCUCAGGCAGAGCCUGACGGGGUCGGUUCUCCCACAAAGGCAGAAAGUCGGGGAAUUCCAGGCUCGGUGGAAAAGGUAACCUGAACUAUUCUGCAGCGUUCGUCCAAUUGCACGUCUCCCUCAAAACCUCACUGACCCUGGAAGCACUUGUUUUAAAGUCUUGGUUGAAACAAAACUGGGAUUUUUAAGAAAAAUAACAAAUUUCUGGUACUUUAAGAUGUGAACGGUUUUAAGCUUUUACUGGCUUCUGUCAAAAUCAAAUUGGAGCAACUUCAGUCUCAGCUGCACCCAAAGUGGACGAAAACCCGGUUCUAUCCCCAAGGAACCGACAGCCAGGACGCGGCUGCGAGAACUGUGAUCCAGCUGGCAUCGCUGUCGGUGGUGUUCUCCUGUCCGGACGCGGAGGUGGGGCUGGCCGCUCGCUGUGCCCGUCCAGUGGGUCACCUCCCUCCACUGCCUGCCUGUGUCACGUUGCGUUUCAUUGCGAACAAGAUGAAAACAAAGACUGAAAGCAUAAGCCCGAAUGGGACUAAAGCUGGAAAGCGGCAAUUACGUGGAGCUGAGAAGGGAGUUGCUGACGCUCAUCAGACGAAAGUGAAUGUCCUUUUCUGUGGAAACAUCUCAUUAAUGCACGUUUCUUGGGUUUGGCUUUUCAGGAUCACAAGCAGGAAGACAUUAUAGAUAAAGAAAACACACACGUGUAUCUAGGACAUUUGCUGUGUUACUUCAAAGGAGGCAAACUGGAACAGGGACGAAGUCGUCAUGACCCGACACGGCCUGGCCUCUGGUGGGCUCCGAACCUCCGGACUGUCCGACGGGCUGAGACGCGGGCUGGGAGAGGGGCUCAGAGCAGCCCCGGGGCAUAUGGGAUGCUGUGCAGCCCAAGGCUGGGGCCUGCAGACAGCCUGCUGGGGUCUGUGAGUCGGAAUUGACUCGAGGCCACUAACAACAAGGGUGUGCGCACCUUCGUCUUUGCGAGACAGUAUCAAGUCGGCCUCUGCGCUGGUCACACCAGUUCACACUCCCACCAGCAACAUCCGGAAGUCCCAGUUGGUCUACGUCCCCCCAGUGCAUCUCAGGGUUUCUUCCUCUCAGCACUCGUGACUUCUGAGCUGGACAGUUCCCUGCGGGGUCUGUCCUGUAGCUGUGGGACGUUGAGCCACAUCCCUGGCCUCUACCCAGUAAAUGCCAGUAGCACCCCUGGUUGUGACAAUCAAACAUGACUCCAGACGUUGCCAGAUGUCACCGGGGGACAAAGUCACCUCAGCAGAGAACCACUGGUGUGUCUCAAGUUUCGUCAACGUCGUGUCAACGACAUCACUGUUGUCUUGGUUGCGUCUCUAACGACGAGUACGACUGAGCCUCCUGUCAGGACUCGGGCUUCGUGUUUCCUCUGUGAGAGUUUCCUGUUCGUAACUUGUGCCCAUUUUUAUAUUGGGUUGUUUGGUUUGUUCUUACACAUUUAUACAUUCCUUCAGUAUUUCAGAUACUUAUCUUUUGUUAGUUAUUCCAGUGGUCUUUCUGCACCAAAACAAUGUUCAUAAAUUUAUGCUUAUAAAGAUGGGAAACAAGCAUAUUGAAUUAAUAAAGCUCCAUGCAUUUUUAAAUAGAUGAGCUUUAAGAAUCCUUGGACAAUUUGAUCUUUCACUUUCUUUUAACCUUAAGCAAGAAGAGACAAUUUUUUAAAAAUUUCUUUCUGCCUUCGCAUUUUUUAAAUUUUUUACUCAAGUGCUGAUAAUCAGGAGUUGUUGUCAAGACUUUGGUUGAAAUCAAUCACAAUUUUGAGAAAAAUUAUCUCAAAGAUUUUUUUAUCUGAAAACAUUAACUAAUGAAGUUAUUAAUUAACUCUAAAAUGUUAAAGAUUUUUCUCACUGUAAGGAUUAUGGUGAGGUUUAACAUAAAUUAUUUUCUUGCUUUCAAGGAAGAUUUGUGGAGGAUGAGGAUCUGCUCUAGGUAGGACACUGCAGAUGUCAUAGAGUUGAGCAGAACAGCCUCCACUUGAGCAGUUUAUGAUUAGUUGGAAAAAUUAGACACUGAUGAGAAUAAUAUAACAGCAGAAUUUAACAGUUCGUAAAAACAAAAAGUGCUCACCUGCAGCCACACGCCUUGAUUCUGCAAACCUUCCCUGUGCACGAAAUUCAGGUCAGAGUCUGCCCUGAGGGGCGUCCAGUCCAGUGGAGCAGUCGGAGCGUGUGCCCCAAGGAAGCCGAGGUGGUUUUUUCUGGUUGUGAAGCUUCGAAAAGGUUAAAGAAGCAGAGACCUUCCGAUCCAGGCCUUAAGGAACAAGGAGACCGUCUCGGGGAGAAGUCUGCGUUCUGGCCGGCACACGGCUUUGCACCUUUGCGUCGCAGAAACAAGUGCAGCCUUGAACUUGGCAAAGGCUUGUGGGCGGAGACCUGCACCCUGGGACCCACGACUGGGGGACUCCACUGGCCCCUCGAAGCCCCCUUUCCUCGUCCCCCAGGGCAUCAUCAUAUAAAAAUAGUCAUUGCCUAUAAAAAUGCCAAUUCUUGUGUAAUUUUUAAGAAAACUACAGAGAAAUGCAUUUAUCUUCAUCAUCCUCGAUUAAAAGUCCAGUGUGCAGAUUCGUUGUCUGGAGAUGGAAGAGCUGCACCCACUGGGGGCGGGUGGGGCUCCUUCAGAGGCAGGAGGACUGACCUAGGCUCCCUCCCUCCCGCCUCUGUCUUUCAUUCGUUCUCAGUGUCUAACUUAGAACCUGUGAACAAAAAAAAGAAAUGAGUGUCUGGCCAGCUAGUCCUUCAGCUCCUGGAUGCAGGCGUCACGGAGAGAGUGCUGCCCCGGCCUUGACGGGUGUGAGCCAUUAACCUUCAAGCUGAUUCUGGAGACACUGUCGUGACAGUGUAACUGAAAGUUCGGUCUCUGAACCCGACGCCAAUCCAAAUAACGAGAACAGAGUCUUGAGCGGAAGAGGAAAGGUUUUUACUAUGCCAGGCACAGGGAGCAAAGCAAGGGCUCGUACCUCGAAAAUUGCUAGCUCCCCAAUGAGGAAUGGGCGGGUUCGAGCGCCGGGAGUCGAGGACUUGAGGUCUGGGAAGCCUCCGCUCCUUGGUACUUUGAGACAGCGGCUUUCCUGGCAAACUCGAGGACACAUGAUCAGCUAAACUUUAGUGUGCCUCCAACUCCAGGCCACCUGGGCUUUUAACAAUUUGUAACUCCCAUUUAGUUGUAAAGCUCAAAGAGUCCAAGUUUAAAGAAACAGGAACAAGUACCAAGUGAGAUUUCCUUCGUGUAAAUUUUGGUGUGGUCUUCCCCGUGGAAAGGGUGCAGGCGUUUCUGGUGCUCGCCCAGCGAGGUCGCUCCUCUCUCUGCACCUCCUCCCCUUCUUCAGGCCACGCUGGCUGCCUGUUCCAGAGGCGACGGUGUGAGAUGCCGGCUUAGGGACAGAAAACCUGAGGCUGAAUCCCCAUCUUGCAACUUGCGAGGAUCCUAUGCGGUCUCCAGAAUCCUCCCAGAAGGCCUGCGCCACGCCGUGUGUCCAUCUGCUCUUGUCUCCAAGGAUCUUUGGUCAACCCUGCUGGGAGGGGCCGGGCUUUGUCCCGAGGACCCAGAGUCUCGCCGAGUCUUUGUCCAAGGACAGAGUGAUGGUGUGUCAACGUCGAGGAGCAUCUAUGGAGACGAGACGGAAAGGACUGUCGUUAGAGUCGGUAUCCAGGGACAGGCUGAGAACUACAGGCCAGGGAGGCGAGGCUGGCGAGCCAGGCCGCGUGAAGCUGGUGAACGUGAGGAAGGCCCUGGCUUGUGGUCAAACAGUCUUCUCCAGCAGCUGGAUUUGGGUCGAGUUAUUGGACUUCUCUAAAACUCACUUUCCUUAUGUGGAAAAAAGCGGUGGAUCAUUAUCGUCCCUCAGAAGGCUUGACAGGAAUUAAAUGAAAUAACAUAGGUGCACGCCUGGCCCAUGGAAGAUGCACAAUAAAAGUUUGUUGAAAAUACCACGUGAAAUUAAGGUUCUCAGAGGCUGGGAGAGCUAACUUCUCCCAUUUCGGGAUGAGAGGAGAAAGAACGAUCGAUUAUUCAAGCGUAUUAUGUACUGGGCCCUUCCAUCCUAUAAGGUAAGUAUUAUGUGCAAUUUACAGUUGAGAAAUCUGAGGCUCAGAGGGCUUGGGUGAAUUACCCAAGGUCGCAAGCAAGUAAAUGACCAAAUAUAGACUCAGACCCAAGUCUGCUGUUGUCCCUUGUCAGAUCUUCCUAGGAGUCACGACCUUGGCUGACGCCAGGUAUCCGACACUGCUUCCAUCUCCGUCCAGCUGGAGCCCCACAAGGCAGAAGCGAGGCCCACCACGGAGGAAGAAACUAUGCGUCAGGCACCCUGCUGGGUGCUUAGAUAGUAAACUGAAUUAUACUCUCCUCCUGCGAAGCGGAGCUGGGAUCUUCUUUCAGGAGAGGGGCCUGGCCGGUCCUGGCAGAGUUUACACCAAAAUUAUCCGAGAGUCUCUUCUCAGCAGAGGGGUCGCUGUGUCCCGAGCACCCUGACUUGCAUUUUGCGUGUGUCUGUUUAGCUUUGUACCGUUGCUCAGAACGUGCACUGGUGCUCUGAGCCCGGUGGCAGGCUCUCAGCUACGGUUUUGUUUAUGUCUCGGAACUGGAUUAAUAAGUACCUGCUCGCCUGGAGCCGCCUGGAGCAUCGACACCGCAGCAGCAUUGGAAGCGGCUGCUCGCCCUGCUCUGCCGAUGGGUGCAAGAUGCAGCCAGCAAAGAAGGGGGGAGGUGUCAGGAAAGCUGCCCCGAGUCAUUCUCUUUCAAGCUGCGCUCAAGUCCCCACUGUUUGAGUCUCAGAAAAAUAUUCAGAAAAGGGGCUUUUCUAAAAUAUCACAAUUUCUAAACAGACUCAGACCUAAUUACAGAUGCAAACGGCGUUGUGCAAUCUCUCUUUACGCUUCCUUAAGGCACCCUCAGAGUCAGGCAGUCUUCCUGAGAAGGCCACAGAGAAGGCCAAGGUGGGCAGGAAGCGGUUCACACACCUGGAAGAUUUGUACCUACAGAGGGAAACAGUGAAGCACGAAGGGCAUUCCUAUCGCAGAGGGGAUGGAAAUGGAAUAAAAAUCACACUCCUUGUCAGGCAGAACAUAAACGUCUUUAAAACAACAUGGCUGUGAUUUUAUGGGACAGAAAAAUCCGGACCAUUCUUUCGAAAUGGCAUUUCUGCCGCAAACCUUUGAAGAAUCACCGUAGCCCAAGGUGAAGACGGCACCGCGUAACAGAAGGCCCAGCUGGGACGCACACAUCCCCAGGUGGGAGAAAACGAAGUGACGUGAAUCACAGGCAUUCGGCGUGCUGUUACUCACUGAUACUCGUAAUAUCACACAGUUUAUGGAUGACGGCAGGACAGGUGGUGGUACCAGGGGACCGCCGUUCCACGGAGGAAUUCAGACUUCCCUGUGAUGUAAUCGUGGAAGUGAGUUCAAUAUCAUUGCAAUCCGAUUGGUCUGCGGGGACCCUGAGUCAGCCUGUGGGUAAC
Molecule: long non-coding RNA, 6196 nt
Organism: Equus asinus (donkey)
Lineage: Eukaryota; Metazoa; Chordata; Mammalia; Perissodactyla; Equidae
Source: Ensembl